UACAACUGGUUUUUGCAAACUUGAGUAAGAUAUGUAGUAAAGUACAAGAAAAGUAUCAUCAGUUUACUUUUCAUUCUCCUCCAGUCCCCAGUGAUUUUCGGCAUUAAUUACAAAGGAAUUUCACAUUUCAGGAAACGCAGUCACCCUAACAGAUUUCUUCAGGUCUUGAUCAAACGGACACUUGGCAGGAAGUCUUGUCUGAGAAGAGUCCCAGCCAGCAAGGGUAGAUUUAAACAGAACACCCUGCAACCUGCUCCCCGCCGGGUCCCUACAGGGCCCAUCAAAGAGCACUCAGGUACCUGAAGCACGUGGUUGUCCUCUGGGCCCAAAUCCCAGGACGAACACUGGGCAUGGGGCCAAGGACUGAUGUUCUAAGGGAAAAUGAACAAAGGAUUUC
Molecule: long non-coding RNA, 397 nt
Filed under: Fukomys damarensis (Damara mole-rat)
Lineage: Eukaryota; Metazoa; Chordata; Mammalia; Rodentia; Bathyergidae
Description: lncRNA (ENSFDAG00000024039.1)
Source: RNAcentral